UCCUUCAUUUAGUGCUUAGAUGACCUUUU
This 29-nucleotide non-coding RNA is filed under the name Rattus norvegicus (Norway rat). The record is from RNAcentral. Lineage: Eukaryota; Metazoa; Chordata; Mammalia; Rodentia; Muridae.